Molecule: non-coding RNA, 403 nt
Organism: Pelobates cultripes (western spadefoot toad)
Lineage: Eukaryota; Metazoa; Chordata; Amphibia; Anura; Pelobatidae
Source: the annotation of a GenBank genome assembly
CAUAAUUAGUGCAGGUUAAGGAAAGUAAUUAAAAGUAAAUUCAUGGGGGGGCGUGGUUUGGCCGCGAGGGAAGAUGGCUGCCUAAGAGGAGAGCUCCGUCCCACACAGCUCCUACAGCCGGCUACCACCGCAGCACAGCGUGCUAAUGGGGCGCACAAAACGCCCGGAGGGCACACAAACACCCAGGGCUCACCCAAGCAGCUCACAGACGGGACCCAAGGAUGGGUAUCUUGCCCCUUCGACGGCCGAGCACCACGAGGUGGCGGGCGCAAGCAUGGCCGACUCCCCGACCCGCCCUCUCACCUCUGAUCAGGAAGGGCCCUCAUUAACAGAUAUCAGGGCGGACAUUAGAGCCCUGGCAGCGGCAAUGGUGACCAAAAACGAUCUGCAGAUCCUGUCUGAC